Molecule: ribosomal RNA, 442 nt
Filed under: uncultured bacterium
Lineage: Bacteria
Description: partial 16S ribosomal RNA
Rfam family: Bacterial small subunit ribosomal RNA
Source: RNAcentral
CCUACGGGACGCAGCAGUAGGGAAUCUUUCACAAUGGGCGAAAGCCUGAUGGAGCAACGCCGCGUGCAGGAUGAAGGCCUUCGGGUUGUAAACUGCUUUUAUAAGCGAGAAAUAUGAUGGUAACUUAUGAAUAAGGAUCGGCUAACUACGUGCCAGCAGCCGCGGUCAUACGUAGGAUCCGAGCAUUAUCCGGAGUGACGGGGUGUAAAGAGUUGCGUAGGUGGCAUAAUAAGUAGCUAGUGAAAUCUGGUGGCUCAACCAUUCAGACUAUUAGCUAAACUGUUAAGCUCGAGACCGUUAGGGGUAACUGGAAUUUCUAGUGUAGGAGUGAAAUCCGUAGAUAUUAGAAGGAACACCAAUAGCGUAGGCAGGUUGCUGGGACGGUUCUGACACUAAGGCACGAAAGCGUAGGGAGCAAACAGGAUUAGAUACCCCAGUAGUC